GCACAAAACAAGAAAAUAGAGAGUUCCCAACCCCCACUGUUUUCGGCCCAACCUUAGGAAAACCAAAUCAAAUUCUAGCUUCCCAAAAAUUAUUUCCUUGGUGUUAACCCACUAUAUUGAGGUCCCUAAGUAGCGUGGAAGAGUUGUUCGGGUCAUCCAACCAUUAGUUGUACCCAUUUGCAAACCCUAACUAUUUGGUGGAUUGAAGAAGAAAGAUCGUGGGCAGCCCGAAUCAUAGUUUGGACUUAGCUUGAGUUGGAUCAUAUUGGAGAGCGUUUGAGGUACGGACGCACAGCCUGGUGAUCCACCUGUUUAGGACACCCUUUCUGCUAUUCGGAGUGCUCCUCUCUUUCCGGAGCUUAUACUUUUGGUAUAUAUAUUUUUAUUAGUGCAUUUGUAUAUAUUCGUUCAUGGGUACGGCGGGGCCCUGUCCUGUCAUAUGAUUCUGUCGGUCUGUUUAGAGGUCUGUGGACAUGUUUGUGGGUUAGGGUCUUUCUGUAUGGAUGUAUGUACAUGUCGUUUGGGCGAUCCCAUACGCCGAGGCGGCCGGUCCGCAUAUGUUGUUUGGGCGAUCCUAUACGCCGAGGAGGCCGGUCCGCAUAUGUUUAUAUAUUGCUUGGUUAGCCCUGUGUGGCUUUUGUUGGUAUUUUCUGCGUGCAGGGUAUAUUGGAUAGUCCGUAAAACAAAGGAAACUCUGCCGAAAUUUUUCUGGAAAUUACCUAAAUUUGAAAUAAAGCCUUGUCGGCUUCCGCCAUAUACUAGAAUGAGUUAAUAGAAUUUGAGAUAAUAUUUGAUAGAUGGGUUCGGGUGCCCAGAUCGGGCACUAGUCACGGCCUACGGGGUUGGG
Molecule: long non-coding RNA, 847 nt
Organism: Lycium barbarum (goji berry)
Lineage: Eukaryota; Viridiplantae; Streptophyta; Magnoliopsida; Solanales; Solanaceae
Exons: 3
Source: RefSeq, a predicted model, not a curated record